This is a long non-coding RNA of Gossypium raimondii (Peruvian cotton), 609 nucleotides long. RefSeq lists it as uncharacterized. The transcript is spliced from 2 exons. The record is from RefSeq and is a predicted model, not a curated record. Lineage: Eukaryota; Viridiplantae; Streptophyta; Magnoliopsida; Malvales; Malvaceae.
GGGCCGAAGGAGAAAAUUACCCAAAAACACUGCACAGCACUGGACUAAAAUAAAACCGAUUCGAUAUUUCAUGGAAAAAUUUGAAAAAAAAAAAAAGGUUUUGAAAUGAUAGGAUAAAAUGGAAGGAUUAAAAACACAAAUAACCCAUCAAUGUUUAAAAGUUCAAAUCCAUUUCAAACUCUGCUCCAUCCUCUCCUCUGUUUUUCAAGCCGAACUCCCCCCUUCCAACUUCGAUUUAGACGAAGAGAAUUAAAGAUGUCGACGGCGCGCCUCUUUUGGAUGAACAUGCAUGGUGGAAGCGAGGAAUCGCUGAACGUGGGGUGAUGGGGCCGUUGCUGCAGAUGGAGAACGUGCGAGCGGCGCGAUCUGCAGUUUCUGCUUCCAUUGCUGCUGAAAACAUGUUGUGGCCUAGGGUUAACUUUGGGCCAUUUGGGCCAAAUGUAUUUGGUUUAUUGGGCUGUGCAAAUGGUUUUGGGCUCGGGCAACAAUUGGGUAUCACAUAUCAUACACGUGGAUUUUCACGUACAUGAUAUGUUAGUAUUUAAUUAUUUUUUAAUUUAAAAAUAAUUUUAUAUUUUUAAAUAAUUUUAAUGAUUUUAAAUUUAAAAA